Molecule: ribosomal RNA, 114 nt
Filed under: Fukomys damarensis (Damara mole-rat)
Lineage: Eukaryota; Metazoa; Chordata; Mammalia; Rodentia; Bathyergidae
Source: RNAcentral
CCCAGUAGAUAUACCACACUGAACGCACCCUAUCUCUUCUGACCUCAGAAGCUAAGCAGGGUUGGGCCUGGUUAGUUCUUGAAUAGGAGACAAAUUACCCAGUAGAUAAUAGAU